This is a non-coding RNA of Cicer arietinum (chickpea), 696 nucleotides long. The record is from RefSeq and is a predicted model, not a curated record. Lineage: Eukaryota; Viridiplantae; Streptophyta; Magnoliopsida; Fabales; Fabaceae.
CUCUCUCCAAUCCUUUCCCUAUAAUAAUGCAUCUUUUUUCCAUUUUACUUUUCAUCCAUGUCCCAAAUUGAUAAUGUAUUACAUUAAUUUUCCAGCAAUGGUCUUUUUGUGAAGCUUGACAACAUGGUAAAGUUGAUAGAAAAGUGCAGCUUCCAGGUUCCUAUGAAGUUUGUAAAUUUCUUGAUUUUUUAUGCAAAUUUUCUAUCACAAAGUGAUGCUAAGGGGAGAGAUGAUGGGAUGAUGGAAAUGGGACACUGAUCCCUCAAACUUAUUAGAGAUAUUAUAAACAAUUGUAUUGUAAAGAAUCAGAUCACUAAAGGAAAAACAUGCUUUUUAAAGUUGUGCCAGUCCAACUUAGCAUUUUUGUUUGAGGAAGAAUUUGUGCCAACAUCUUUUGAAGGAGUUGGAGCAGAAUUUCCCUGACGAGGUUGAAACAUUUUUUGAGAAUCAAUAUGCUUCUGCUGCUGAGUUGAUACAAAAUGUAUUACCAAAUGGAGGCUUUGCGGAGGGUUAGAGUAUAGCAUGGAAUGAUAUGAUAUAUUGAUGAUGCAUUUUAUUUUGUAUAAUUGAUAUCAUGAAACUGUCAAUAUUUCUCUUUUUUGGGCUUUAUUAUUUCAUUGGUCUGUAUAGUGAAGCUCAUAACUGCUUCCUUAUUCUUGUAUCUGUCAUUGUUUUAAUUAAUUUUUCGAGAUGGAA